GAUGAAGAACGUAGCGAAAUGUGAUACUUGGUGUGAAUUGCAGAAUCCCGUGAACCAUCGAGUCUUUGAACGCAAGUUGCGCCCGAAGCCACUAGGCCGAGGGCACGCCUGCCUGGGCGUCACACGUCGUUGCCCCCCACCAUCUACUCCUUCGGGAUUGCGGGGGGCGGAUGAUGGCCUCCCGUGCGCCUAGCCGCGCGGUUGGCAUAAAUACCAAGUCCUCGGCGACGCACGCCACGACAAUCGGUGGUUGCGAAACCUCGGUUGCCCGUCGUGUGCGUUCGUCGCGCAUCGAGGGCUCGAAAAAAUGCUCGGCUCCGGCUCGGCUUUCAACGCGACCCCAGGUCAGGCGGGGUUACCCGCUGAAUUUAAGCAUAUCAAUAAGCGGAGGA
This 392-nucleotide unclassified non-coding RNA is filed under the name soil metagenome. RNAcentral's name for it is "partial contains 5.8S ribosomal RNA, internal transcribed spacer 2, and large subunit ribosomal RNA". The stretch from base 1 to 122 matches the Rfam family "5.8S ribosomal RNA", at positions 35 to 154 of the family's 154-position model. The record is from RNAcentral.